UGGGGAAUAUUGGACAAUGGGGGCAACCCUGAUCCAGCAAUGCCGCGUGUGUGAAGAAGGUCUUCGGAUUGUAAAGCACUUUCGACGGGGACGAUGAUGACGGUACCCGUAGAAGAAGCCCCGGCUAACUUCGUGCCAGCAGCCGCGGUAAUACGAAGGGGGCUAGCGUUGCUCGGAAUGACUGGGCGUAAAGGGCGUGUAGGCGGUUUACACAGUCAGAUGUGAAAUCCCCGGGCUUAACCUGGGAGCUGCAUUUGAUACGUGUAGACUAGAGUGUGAGAGAGGGUUGUGGAAUUCCCAGUGUAGAGGUGAAAUUCGUAGAUAUUGGGAAGAACACCGGUGGCGAAGGCGGCAACCUGGCUCAUGACUGACGCUGAGGCGCGAAAGCGUGGGGAGCAAACAGGAUUAGAUACCCUGGUAGUCCACGCUGUAAACGAUGUGUGCUAGAUGUUGGGUACUUUGUUAUU
Molecule: ribosomal RNA, 467 nt
Filed under: uncultured bacterium
Lineage: Bacteria
Description: partial 16S ribosomal RNA
Rfam family: Bacterial small subunit ribosomal RNA
Source: RNAcentral